Molecule: long non-coding RNA, 216 nt
Filed under: Drosophila guanche
Lineage: Eukaryota; Metazoa; Arthropoda; Insecta; Diptera; Drosophilidae
Source: RNAcentral
UUAUNAUAAAAUAUGGCUUAUAGUUUAUUCAAAUUAUUAUGCUUGCAUUUUAACAUAGAAUAAAUGUCAUUAAUUUGAUAAAGUGUUGAUAAAUUAAAAUUAAUACAGUGCGUUAAUUUUUCGAAAUUAUAUAAUGGCAUAAUUAUCAUCGAUAUUUGUGUUUAUUAUAAGCAUUUGUAUGAUUAACAAUGCGAAAGAUUCAGGAUACCUUCGGGA